ACUUAAAUUGAAGAGUUUGAUCAUGGCUCAGAUUGAACGCUGGCGGCAGGCCUAACACAUGCAAGUCGAGCGGUAGCACAGAGAGCUUGCUCUCGGGUGACGAGCGGCGGACGGGUGAGUAAUGUCUGGGAAACUGCCUGAUGGAGGGGGAUAACUACUGGAAACGGUAGCUAAUACCGCAUAAUGUCGCAAGACCAAAGUGGGGACCUUCGGGCCUCAUGCCAUCAGAUGUGCCCAGAUGGGAUUAGCUAGUAGGUGGGGUAACGGCUCACCUAGGCGACGAUCCCUAGCUGGUCUGAGAGGAUGACCAGCCACACUGGAACUGAGACACGGUCCAGACUCCUACGGGAGGCAGCAGUGGGGAAUAUUGCACAAUGGGCGCAAGCCUGAUGCAGCCAUGCCGCGUGUGUGAAGAAGGCCUUCGGGUUGUAAAGCACUUUCAGCGGGGAGGAAGGCGGUGAGGUUAAUAACCUCAUCGAUUGACGUUACCCGCAGAAGAAGCACCGGCUAACUCCGUGCCAGCAGCCGCGGUAAUACGGAGGGUGCAAGCGUUAAUCGGAAUUACUGGGCGUAAAGCGCACGCAGGCGGUCUGUCAAGUCGGAUGUGAAAUCCCCGGGCUCAACCUGGGAACUGCAUUCGAAACUGGCAGGCUAGAGUCUUGUAGAGGGGGGUAGAAUUCCAGGUGUAGCGGUGAAAUGCGUAGAGAUCUGGAGGAAUACCGGUGGCGAAGGCGGCCCCCUGGACAAAGACUGACGCUCAGGUGCGAAAGCGUGGGGAGCAAACAGGAUUAGAUACCCUGGUAGUCCACGCCGUAAACGAUGUCGAUUUGGAGGUUGUGCCCUUGAGGCGUGGCUUCCGGAGCUAACGCGUUAAAUCGACCGCCUGGGGAGUACGGCCGCAAGGUUAAAACUCAAAUGAAUUGACGGGGGCCCGCACAAGCGGUGGAGCAUGUGGUUUAAUUCGAUGCAACGCGAAGAACCUUACCUGGUCUUGACAUCCACAGAACUUUCCAGAGAUGGAUUGGUGCCUUCGGGAACUGUGAGACAGGUGCUGCAUGGCUGUCGUCAGCUCGUGUUGUGAAAUGUUGGGUUAAGUCCCGCAACGAGCGCAACCCUUAUCCUUUGUUGCCAGCGGUCCGGCCGGGAACUCAAAGGAGACUGCCAGUGAUAAACUGGAGGAAGGUGGGGAUGACGUCAAGUCAUCAUGGCCCUUACGACCAGGGCUACACACGUGCUACAAUGGCAUAUACAAAGAGAAGCGACCUCGCGAGAGCAAGCGGACCUCAUAAAGUAUGUCGUAGUCCGGAUUGGAGUCUGCAACUCGACUCCAUGAAGUCGGAAUCGCUAGUAAUCGUAGAUCAGAAUGCUACGGUGAAUACGUUCCCGGGCCUUGUACACACCGCCCGUCACACCAUGGGAGUGGGUUGCAAAAGAAGUAGGUAGCUUAACCUUCGGGAGGGCGCUUACCACUUUGUGAUUCAUGACUGGGGUGAAGUCGUAACAAGGUAACCGUAGGGGAACCUGCGGUUGGAUCACCUCCUUACCUUAAAGAA
Molecule: ribosomal RNA, 1553 nt
Filed under: Klebsiella pneumoniae
Lineage: Bacteria; Pseudomonadati; Pseudomonadota; Gammaproteobacteria; Enterobacterales; Enterobacteriaceae
Description: bacterial SSU rRNA
Rfam family: Bacterial small subunit ribosomal RNA
Source: RNAcentral